This 64-nucleotide microRNA precursor is filed under the name Drosophila mojavensis. RNAcentral describes it as "Dmo-Novel-7-P3_pre stem-loop". Lineage: Eukaryota; Metazoa; Arthropoda; Insecta; Diptera; Drosophilidae. The record is from RNAcentral.
UUCGGUGUGCGGCUGUUUUGCGUGUCAUUUAAUACAUAUCGUCAAACGAGCCGAACAUCGAAAU